RNAcentral lists this small nuclear RNA (18 nucleotides) under Arabidopsis thaliana (thale cress). Its description in RNAcentral is "snRNA_06707". Lineage: Eukaryota; Viridiplantae; Streptophyta; Magnoliopsida; Brassicales; Brassicaceae. The record is from RNAcentral.
UGCUCCGGGCGUCGGCCU